Molecule: ribosomal RNA, 176 nt
Filed under: uncultured bacterium
Lineage: Bacteria
Description: partial 16S ribosomal RNA
Rfam family: Bacterial small subunit ribosomal RNA
Source: RNAcentral
ACUCCUACUGGAGGCAUCAGUGGGGAAUUUUCCGCAAUGGGCGAAAGCCUGACGGAGCAAUACCGCGUGAGGGAUGAAAGCCUGUGGGUUGUAAACCUCUUUUCUCAAGGAAGAAUUUCUGACGGUACUUGAGGAAUAAGCAUCGGCUAACUCUGUGCCAGCAGCCGCGGUAAUAC